This is a small nuclear RNA of Sorex fumeus (smoky shrew), 107 nucleotides long. The record is from RefSeq and is a predicted model, not a curated record. Lineage: Eukaryota; Metazoa; Chordata; Mammalia; Eulipotyphla; Soricidae.
GUGCUCAUAUUGGUAGCAAAGACACUAAAAUUGAAAUGAUACAUAGAAGAUUUGCAUGGCCACUGCAUAAGGACAAUGCCCGAAUUCCUAGAACUUUCCAUAUUUUA